GACGAACGCUGGCGGCGUGCCUAAUACAUGCAAGUCGAACAGUGGCGAACGGGUGAGUAACACGUGAGUAACCUGCCCUCCACUUUGGGAUAACUCCGAGAAAUCGGGGCUAAUACUAGCUCGUGGGGGCUGGGCUCGCGGCCUAUGAGUAUGUUGGUGAGGUAGUGGUCACAAAGGGGUGACGGGUAGCCGGCCUGAGAGGGCGACAGGCCACACUGGGACUGAGACACGGCCCAGACUCCAUCGGGAGGCAGCAGUGGGGAAUAUUGCACAAUGGGCGAAAGCCUGAUGCAGCGACGCCGCGUGGGGGAUGACGGCCUUCGGGUUGUAAACCUCUUUCAGCAAGGAAGCGGUACUUGCAGAAGAAGCGCCGGCUAACUACGUGCCAGCAGCCGCGGUAAUUC
Molecule: ribosomal RNA, 404 nt
Filed under: uncultured bacterium
Lineage: Bacteria
Description: partial 16S ribosomal RNA
Rfam family: Bacterial small subunit ribosomal RNA
Source: RNAcentral